CCGUGCUAGGCGGGGUGCUAGCGGUGCCCUGUACCCGCAAUCCGCUCUAGCGGGGCUGAAUCCCCUCCCGAGGGGCUCCAGGCCCCGGGGUCAGCGCCUCGUUUGCGGUGUUGAUGGUUCGGUCCCGUAGCGAUGAAGGCCCGUGAACCAGGUCAGGUCCGGAAGGAAGCAGCCUUAAGCGGUCUCCUUCAGGCGCCGCGGGAGCGCCGAGCCGGAGCCGUCAAAGGGGGCCGCGCCUCGGGUACCGGCUUCGACGGAGGGUGCACGG
Molecule: signal recognition particle RNA, 268 nt
Filed under: Solirubrobacterales bacterium
Lineage: Bacteria; Bacillati; Actinomycetota; Thermoleophilia; Solirubrobacterales
Description: signal recognition particle sRNA large type
Rfam family: Bacterial large signal recognition particle RNA
About the family: The signal recognition particle (SRP) is a universally conserved ribonucleoprotein involved in the co-translational targeting of proteins to membranes. Archaeal SRP consists of a 7S RNA and homologues of the eukaryotic SRP19 and SRP54 proteins.
Source: RNAcentral